UUAAGGUCAAACACACAAUUGAAUUGUUUCUUAUUGCAGUCGUUCCUAUCCACUGUAAAUUUUCCACACAUCCAACCUUCUACACCGCACAGUAAAAUCCCCAAUCAUCACACAGUUCCAUUUCAUAAACUGCUUCAAAACACCCCCUUUCCCUUUCAUCCUUAGGAGCAGCUCCACAGCUGAUAUUUUUUCCCACCAUAUUGAACCUCAACCUCCACAUGCCUCCCCCUCGCAUCCCGCCCACAGUCCUUUACCUCUUCCGCCACUCCCUUUCUAACCAAUAUUGCCACCCCUUUGCAUUCUUCUCUCCAUUAUUUGCAAAUAUUUCCCCAAUCCACUCCUUCUGAAAUUAAUUUGUAACCACCCCAUCCCAGUUAGUCUCCUGCAGACAGACGAUGUCCUCUUUACAUCUUUGUAUGUAUGUAGCAGUCUCUCUUUGCUUCUCAAACCAUCCCAAUUAAAUGAAGAAAUUGUCACCACUGGACCCAAAGAAAAGAAAAUGAAACCCACCACUUCUAUUUCUACAUUAAUUUGAUCUAUUUUUUAAGUCCCUCCGGUCAGCUGUUCUCCCCGUGCCACCACCUUUGCACUAUCAUGCCCUCCUCCCCCUUAUCUGACCACUCACUUAUUUUUUUUUGUCCUGUCCAGCCAUUAUGGCAGAUAGUGUUGUUGAUCUAAAUGUCCUCACAAGCGAAACAGAUUUGCUCUGCCAGGGAAAAGUUUAAGAUACUCUUCCCCUGUUAUACAGAAUUUAUUUGACAUUAUUUGAUGUUUUGUUGUUAUGCAAAUUUGGAGUGGCUGGGUUGGAGCGGGAGGGGAUAGAAAAGAAGAGAAGAGAAAAGAAAACAGAGGGAAGAGUGCGGGGAAAAGAGGGGGACAAUACAGAGAGAGAGACAAGGACAACAGCAACAAUUGCAGCGACAAUAACAAAACAACAGAAACAAACAGGACUACAUCAUAAAAUGUCUGUGAUGACCAUAAAGACCAUGAUAGUGAGGACAAAAUAAUAACAAGCACACUGAUAAUACUGAAUUGAAACAGCCAUACAUAUUAGUGGUAAUAGUAGUAAUGAAAAUAUUAACAAUAACUGUAAUGCACACAAUUGUAAUAACUAAAAUAAGCCGACAUCACCAUCACUGAAAAAAAAUCAACGCUUUAACACUCUGGAUAAAUCAGCGAGUUAUGUGGGAUAAUACGUGUGUACUUUGAGUGUGUAUAUGUACGUGAACGUGUAAUUGUCACUGAGCAUGUAUGAAAGGAGAGGGACUGCCCCCCCCCGUGAAGACCAGCAGGGGACCGCAGAGAGGCAACCCCGACCAGAAACGGGGCGCCAGCAGGCAGGAGUACAGCCAAGACCGGCAAGAGACCACACCCCAAAAUAGAUGAAUGGACAAAUAAAUGAAAGAAUAAAAUAAGAAAGUGACUGAAAGGUAAAGGGGUAAUAAAGGCAAAGAAGCAUGCUGAAAUGAAGGAGGUUUGAUAAACUGACAAGACGGGACGGGGUAGUGUGGGGUAAUGCCCACUGGGAGGCGCUAUUGGGUAAAAGAAAAGAAGGGGAGUCAUUGGUUUACUGUCAGAGUAGGAUUCAGUAACACAACAGUAAUGUAGGGGGUUUAAAACAAAAUGGUUAAUCUUCCUGGGAUUGAUAAAAAAUUAAUAAAUAUAACGGGUAAAUAUAUAUAUGUAAUUAAAACUUAAAUAAUACCAAGGUAAAAGGCUACCAAGGUAAAAGGCUAAAGGUCAAGGAUUGAAGGCUCUUCUUGGAUGAAUGAAAAAUAAACAAAUCAGUAAAAACAUUGAAGCGAGAUUAAAUUAAGGGCGGAUGGAUGAACAACAAGAAGGGGAGAGUAUUGGAAGAAAUAACUGGGGUGUCUUUCCAGGGUCGUGUGUGGCAAUGUCCACUAGGGGGAGAGAUUUGGCAAGAUUAAAAGAUUUGGGGCGUUAGAAAUAAAUAAAAUGUAAAGAACAGAAUAAGGUUCAAAAAACGAAAAUGAAAAAUAUCAAGGAAUAAACAAAGUAAGUAGAUAAAUCACAAAUAAAAAUAAACAAACACUUGCAAGCGGACCUAAUUAGGCACUCUCAUAGGGCGUUAUGGGGUGGGGGGUGUCAUCGAGCUAUAUUGAACUCAUGCUGUAAAGAAAUUUGAAUCCGGGUUGUAGCGACGUGCACGAGCCAGUGCAUCGACGGUGGUUCUCUAUCUAUGCACUCGCAGAGAGUGUUAAUAGCAGGAGUCAUUAAACUUCACCACGCUAACCCUAACCCUAUGAAUUUAUCUCCAUCUAUGAAUGGCAAGGGUUGGAAUGUGGAUGGAGAGAUGGAUGGAGAAGGAUACCCCAAAGUAAGCAUUAUAGUCAUCAGUCACAGACAUCUGUGGUCAGGAAAUCCUUUGAGAGACUGAUGCUGAGCCACCUGAAGGACAUCACAGACCCCCUGCUGGACCCCCGAGAGGGCAAAAGGUCCGUGGUUGAUGUGGUCAUCAUGGGACUGCACUACAUCCUGCAUCACCUCGACUCCCCGGGUACGUAUGCAAGGGCCGUGUUUGUGGACUUUCAACACCGUCAUCCCUGAGAUCCUCCACCAGAAGUUCUCCCAGCUCACCGUGCCAGCCUCCCGCUGUCAGUGCAUCACCAGCUUCCUGGCUGACAGGAGUCAGCAGGUGAGACUGGAGAGCAUCACAUCAGCACCUGGACUACCAGCACUGGUGCCUCCCCCAGGGGUGAGUUCUCGCUCCACUGCUCUUCUUCCUCUACACUAAUGACUGCACCUCAGGGGACCCUUCUGUGAAACUCCUGAAGUUUGCAGACAACACGACAGUCAUGCGGGACAGCGGAGAUGACAGUGGACUUCAAUCCUCAACAGCACAGUGUCUAAUGUGGACACCUUCUGGUUUCUGGGAACCACAAUCUCUCGGGACCUGAAGUGGUCUUCCCACAUAGACAUGGACAGGAAAAGACUAUAAAGGACUACCAGGUCUUCAGAAAAAAUAAUUGGAGCCGACCUUCCCUCCAUAUGUGACCUGUUUCGGUCCAGGGCCAGUGGGCCUAAACCCGAUAGGAACGACUUUACUCUCGUGACUGGGCAUGGGACACAGGUUCAGGCUUGAUCACCCUGUAGUUGGCUGCCUUUCAUGAGGGUGUCUCAUGUUGAAAGGCUGAAACACCCA
Long non-coding RNA from Dunckerocampus dactyliophorus (ringed pipefish), 3163 nucleotides. RefSeq lists it as uncharacterized. The transcript has 3 exons. NCBI's taxonomy places the organism in Eukaryota, Metazoa, Chordata, Actinopteri, Syngnathiformes, Syngnathidae. The record is from RefSeq and is a predicted model, not a curated record.